RNAcentral lists this transfer RNA (88 nucleotides) under Colletotrichum cereale. RNAcentral's name for it is "tRNA-Tyr". The record is from RNAcentral. Lineage: Eukaryota; Fungi; Ascomycota; Sordariomycetes; Glomerellales; Glomerellaceae.
CUCCCCUUGGUGUAGUUGGUUCAUCACUUUCGACUGUAAUGGAUACAUUGUCAUCGAAAGGUCUCUAGUUCGAUUCUGGAAGGGGAGA